This 422-nucleotide ribosomal RNA is filed under the name unidentified nematode Sourhope farm. RNAcentral describes it as "SSU rRNA". It matches the Rfam family "Eukaryotic small subunit ribosomal RNA", at positions 58 to 476 of the family's 1831-position model. The record is from RNAcentral. Lineage: Eukaryota; Metazoa; Nematoda.
UCUAAGUAUAACCUGCCAGACAGGGAAACUGCGUACGGCUCAUUACACCAGCCUUAAUUUACUUGACCUUGACAACCUACUUGGAUAACUGUGGUAAUUCUAGAGCUAAUACAUGCACCAAAGCUCCGAUCCUCGCGGAGAGGAGCGCAUUUGUUCGCCACAAAACCAAGCGCCCAUCUGGGCGUCCAGUGCUGAACCAGAACAACUCAGCUGAUCGCACGGUCUUGUACCGGCGACGUGUCUUUCAAGUGUCUGCCUUAUCAACUUUCGAUGGUAGUGUACCUGACUACCAUGGUUGUGACGGGUAACGGAGGAUAAGGGUUCGACUCCGGAGAAGGGGCCUGAGAAAUGGCCACUACGUCUAAGGAUGGCAGCAGGCGCGCAAAUUACCCACUCUCAACGCGAGGAGGUAGUGACGAGAA